This 27-nucleotide non-coding RNA is filed under the name Mus musculus (house mouse). Lineage: Eukaryota; Metazoa; Chordata; Mammalia; Rodentia; Muridae. The record is from RNAcentral.
UGGACUCUAGUUUUCAGGUCUCAAAGC